ACAAGAUGUUAAGAGCGUACGGUGGAUGCCUUGGCACAGGAAGCCGAUGAAGGACGUGACAAGCUGCGAUAAGCCACGGUGAGGCGCACAUAGCCUUCGACCCGUGGAUCUCCCAAUGGGCAAACCCGACAGACGUGAUGGUCUGUCACCCUUGCUUUGAACCCAUAGAGGCAAGGGGGAUAACCCGCUGAACUGAAACAUCUAAGUAGGCGGAGGAAGAGAAAUCAACAGAGAUUCCCCUAGUAGUGGCGAGCGAACGGGGAAGAGGCCAAACCGACGUGCGUCUAUGCCCGGCAGGGUUCGCGCCGUCGGUGUUGUAGGGCCACACGUACAGGAUCUGCCGGUCCUGUGCGCAGUAAGAAACCGGAGCGGUAGUCGAAAGGUCUGGGAAGGCCUGCGAAACAGGGUUAGAGCCCCGUAGACAAAACCGAUCCGGCUGCGCGUUGUGGUACCUGAGUACUGCCGGACACGUGAAACCCGGUGGGAAUCUGGGGGGACCACCCUCCAAGCCUAAAUACUCUCCUGUGACCGAUAGCGAACCAGUACCGUGAGGGAAAGGUGAAAAGCACCCCGGGAGGGGAGUGAAAUAGUACCUGAAACCGUGCGCUUACAAGCAGUCGGAGCACCUUUUUUAGGUGUGACGGCGUGCCUUUUGUAGAAUGAGCCAGCGAGUUGCGGUAUGUGGCGAGGUUAAGCUCGAGAAGCGAGCCGUAGCGAAAGCGAGUCCGAAGUGGGCGUAUAAGUCGCAUGCCGCAGACGCGAAGCCGGGUGAGCUAUCCAUGGGCAGGCUGAAGCGGGGGUAAGACCCCGUGGAGGGCCGAACCCACUUAGGUUGAAAACUGAGGGGAUGACCUGUGGAUAGGGGUGAAAGGCCAAUCAAACCCGGAGAUAUCUCGUUCUCCCCGAAAUAGCUUUAGGGCUAGCCUCGGUUGCUUACCGUCGCAGGUAGAGCACCGGAUGGGCGCGGGGGCCUCACCGCCUACCAACCCCAACCGAACUCCGAAUGGCGACGGUCUUGAGACCGGGAGUCAGAACGUGUGGGCUAAGCCGCGCGUUCGAAAGGGAAACAGCCCAGACCGCCCGCUAAGGCCCCCAAGUUCGUGUUAAGUGGCAAAGGAUGUGCGUUUGCCUAGACAACCAGGAUGUUGGCUUAGAAGCAGCCAUUCAUUUAAAGAGUGCGUAACAGCUCACUGGUCGAGUGGACAUGCGCCGACAAUAUACGGGGCUAAGCACGACGCCGAAGCGGCGGAACGAUCCUUCUUGAGGACCGUUGGUAGGGGAGCUUUCCUUGGGCAGCGAAGCUGAAGGGCAACCUUUGGUGGAGCCUUAAGGAAGUGAGAAUGCUGGCAUGAGUAACGAGAGCGGCGAGAGUAACGCCGCCGCCGUAAACCCAAGGUUUCCUGGGCGAGGCUAAUCCUCCCAGGGUCAGUCGGGAGCUAAGGCGAGGCCGGAAGGCGUAGCCGAUGCACAGCAGGCAGAUAUUCCUGCACCUCCCGCAGGCGCUUGAGCGAUGGGGUGACGGAGAAGGGUAGCUCGACGGGGUUCUGGACGUCCCCGCGAUGUCGCGUAGCCUGAGGGGCAGUAAAAUGCGCCCCUCGCAAAAGGGUGAGGCGACGGACGAAGCGCUUUAGCGAAGCGAGUGAGCCCAUGCUUCCUAGAAAAGCCUCUAGCGAGUCUGCGGGUGCCCGUACCGCAAACCGACACAGGUGGGUGGGUAGAACAUACCAAGGCGAUCGGGUCAACCAUGGUUAAGGAACUCGGCAAAAUGGCCCCGUAACUUCGGGAGAAGGGGCGGUGGCGCGGGUGAUAAGGUCUUCCCUUUGAGCCUGAGCCACUCACAGUAAAGAGGCCCAAACGACUGUUUACCAAAAACACAGGACUCUGCUGAAGUCGUAAGACGACGUAUAGGGUCUGACGCCUGCCCGGUGCCGGAAGGUCACGUGGAGUUGUCAGUCGCAAGACGAAGCAGCGAAACCAAGCCCCGGUAAACGGCGGCCGUAACUAUAACGGUCCUAAGGUAGCGAAAUUCCUUGUCGGGUAAGUUCCGACCUGCACGAAAGGCGUAACGAUUUGGGCGCUGUCUCAACCAUGGACCCGGUGAAAUUGCACUAGUCGUGAAGAUGCGACUUACCCGCGGAAGGACGGAAAGACCCCGUGAACCUUUACUGCAGCUAGACAUUGGCUGCCGGUCCGACGUGUAGAGGAUAGGUGGGAGACUGAGAACCGCUGGCGCCAGCCGGCGGGGAGUCGCCCUUGGAAUACCACCCUCGUCGCUCUGGCAUCCUAACCUGCGACCGUUAUCCGGCGCAGGGACCGUGUCUGGUGGGUAGUUUGACUGGGGCGGUCGCCUCCUAAAGAGUAACGGAGGCGCGCAAAGGUCUGCUCGGGACGGUCGGCAACCGUCCUUUUGAGUGCAAGAGCAUAAGCAGGCUUCACUGCGAGACCAACAAGUCGAGCAGGUGGGAAACCAGGCUCUAGUGAUCCGGCGGCCCAGAGUGGAAUGGCCGUCGCUCAACGGAUAAAAGGUACUCCGGGGAUAACAGGCUGAUCUUCCCCAAGAGUCCACAUCGACGGGAAGGUUUGGCACCUCGAUGUCGGCUCAUCGCAUCCUGGGGCUGGAGCAGGUCCCAAGGGUAUGGCUGUUCGCCAUUUAAAGCGGUACGCGAGCUGGGUUCAGAACGUCGUGAGACAGUUCGGUCCCUAUCCUCCGUGGGCGUAAGAGAGUUGAGGGAGGCUGCCCCUAGUACGAGAGGACCGGGGUGGACGGACCUCCGGUGAACGGGUUGUCAACCAAUGGCACUGCCCGGUAGCUGAGUCCGGUUGGGAUAACCGCUGAAAGCAUCUAAGCGGGAAGCCCGUCCCAAGAUGAGCUCUCUUUUCGGUAAGGCCCCUUGUAGACUACGAGGUUGAUAGGCCGCAGAUGUAAGGCGUGUGAGCGCCUCAGUCGAGCGGUACUAAUAGGCCGAGCUCUUGUAUUU
RNAcentral lists this ribosomal RNA (2978 nucleotides) under Olsenella sp. KGMB02461. RNAcentral's name for it is "23S ribosomal RNA". It matches the Rfam family "Bacterial large subunit ribosomal RNA". The record is from RNAcentral. Lineage: Bacteria; Bacillati; Actinomycetota; Coriobacteriia; Coriobacteriales; Atopobiaceae.